CCAUCACACCUGCCCAGGGACUCUAAGUCUGGACUUGGUAGGUUGCAACCCCACUUUGGUGGCAGCCUGGCUGGGGGCUGUCUACCACCCCACAGGGAAAGUGGGACUUCUUCACAGCUGCCCCUGUGGUUCAAAGGAACAGGGGCCCAGAAUCCUAAUGAGGAUGGUUCAUAUUAUGACAGAUCUGGGAACCUUAAAAGCAAAAGACAACUUAACAAUGCAGAAAACAAAUGCAGGCCCCUUGGCCUGGUUCUCAAGGGCAGCUGGAAGCUUAGUGGGGGUCCUGCCAGGGUCAAUCCCUUGUGCUGUCUGUCCUCCUC
Molecule: long non-coding RNA, 320 nt
Organism: Phyllostomus discolor (pale spear-nosed bat)
Lineage: Eukaryota; Metazoa; Chordata; Mammalia; Chiroptera; Phyllostomidae
Exons: 3
Source: RefSeq, a predicted model, not a curated record